Molecule: ribosomal RNA, 497 nt
Filed under: uncultured bacterium
Lineage: Bacteria
Description: partial 16S ribosomal RNA
Rfam family: Bacterial small subunit ribosomal RNA
Source: RNAcentral
GAUGAACGCUGGCGGCGUGCCUAAUACAUGCAAGUCGAGCGAACGGACGAGAAGCUUGCUUCUCUGAUGUUAGCGGCGGACGGGUGAGUAACACGUGGAUAACCUACCUAUAAGACUGGGAUAACUUCGGGAAACCGGAGCUAAUACCGGAUAAUAUCUUGAACCGCAGGGUUCAAAAGUGAAAGACGGUCUUGCUGGCACUUAUAGCUGGAUCCGCGCUGCAUUAGCUAGUUGGUAAGGUAACGGCCUACCAAGGCAACGAUGCCUAGCCGACCGGUGAGGGUGAUCGGCCACACGGGAACUGAGACACGCUCCAGACUCCUACGGGAGGCACCAGUAGGGAAUCGUCGGCAAUGGGCGGAAGCCUUACGCAGCGACGCCGCGUGAGUGAUGAAAGUCUUCGGAUCGUAAAACUCUGUUAUUGGUGAAGAACAUAUUUGGAAGUAACUGUGCACAUCUUGACGGUACCUAAUCAAAAAGCCCCGGCUAACUACGUG